RNAcentral lists this ribosomal RNA (253 nucleotides) under uncultured bacterium. RNAcentral's name for it is "partial 16S ribosomal RNA". It matches the Rfam family "Bacterial small subunit ribosomal RNA", at positions 524 to 776 of the family's 1533-position model. The record is from RNAcentral.
UACGUAGGUGGCAAGCGUUAUCCGGAAUUACUGGGCGUAAAGCGCACGCAGGCGGCCUUUUAAGUUUGACGUGAAAGCUCCUGGCUUAACCGGGAGAGGUCGUUGAAGACUGGAAGGCUUGAGACGAUGAGAGGGGUGCAGAAUUCCCGGUGUAGUGGUGGAAUGCGUAGAUAUCGGGAGGAAUACCAGUGGCGAAGGCGGCACCCUGGCAUCGGCCUGACGCUCAUGUGCGAAGGCGUGGGGAGCGAACGGG